Molecule: ribosomal RNA, 421 nt
Filed under: uncultured eukaryote
Lineage: Eukaryota
Description: bacterial SSU rRNA
Rfam family: Eukaryotic small subunit ribosomal RNA
Source: RNAcentral
CAAUAGCGUAUAUUAAAGUUGUUGCAGUUAAAAAGCUCGUAGUUGGACUUCUGACGUGGGACUGCGCCCCGUUCCUUUUGGGACGUUGGGUGCGGACUUGUGUCUUCCUCUCGUAGUUGGUUGGUGCACUUAACUGGGUGCCUUCUGAAUAUGGGACCUUUACUUUGAAAAAUUAGAGUGUUCAAAGCAGGCAUUGGCUUGAAUACAUUAGCAUGGAAUAAUAAGAUAGGACCUUGGUACUAUUUUGUUGGUUUGCGUACCUAGGUAAUGAUUAAUAGGGACAGUUGGGGGUAUUCGUAUUCAAUUGUCAGAGGUGAAAUUCUUGGAUUUAUGGAAGACGAACUACUGCGAAAGCAUUUACCAAGGAUGUUUUCAUUAAUCAAGAACGAAAGUUAGGGGAUCGAAGAUGAUCAGAUACCAU